Molecule: unclassified non-coding RNA, 329 nt
Filed under: soil metagenome
Description: partial contains 5.8S ribosomal RNA, internal transcribed spacer 2, and large subunit ribosomal RNA
Rfam family: 5.8S ribosomal RNA (bases 1-120)
Source: RNAcentral
GAUGAAGAACGUAGCGAAAUGCGAUAAGUAGUGUGAAUUGCAGAAUUCAGUGAAUCAUCGAAUCUUUGAACGCACAUUGCGCCCCUUGGUAUCCCGAGGGGCAUGCCUGUUCGAGCGUCAUUUCACCACUCAAGCCUGGCUUGGUGUUGGGCGACGUCCCCUUUGGGGACGCGCCUCGAAACGCUCGGCGGCGUGGCACCGGCUUUAAGUGUAGCAGAAUCUUUCGCUUUGGAAGUCGGGGCCCCGUCUGCCGGAAGACCUACUCGCAAGGUUGACCUCGGAUCAGGCAGGGAUACCCGCUGAACUUAAGCAUAUCAAUAAGCGGAGGA